UUAGGAAAUUUUCGCAAUGGGGGCAACCCUGACGGAGUAACGCCGCGUGGAGGAUGACGGCCUUCGGGUUGUAAACUCCUUUUCUGGGGGAAGAGCAGAAGACGGUACCCCAGGAAGAAGCCUCGGCUAACUACGUGCCAGCAGCCGCGGUAAUACGUAGGAGGCGAGCGUUGUCCGGAAUUACUGGGCGUAAAGAGCGCGUAGGCGGCACUGUACGACCGCUGUGAAAGCCCCCGGCUCAACUGGGGAGGGUCAGUGGUAACGGCAGAGCUUUCGAGUCUAGGAGAGGGAAGUGGAACUCCGGGAGUAGCGGUGAAAUGCGUAGAUACCCGGAGGAACACCAGUGGCGAAGGCGGCUUCCUGGUCUAGAACUGACGCUGUGGCGCGAAAGCUAGGGGAGCAAACGGGAUUAGAUACCCCUGUAGUCC
Molecule: ribosomal RNA, 428 nt
Filed under: uncultured bacterium
Lineage: Bacteria
Description: bacterial SSU rRNA
Rfam family: Bacterial small subunit ribosomal RNA
Source: RNAcentral